CGGUGGCUAGAAAUUGAUGGAAACGGUGGGGGAAAAUACAUGAACUGGACUCUAACAAGACCUAACCAGCAAUAAGACCUCGACGAGGACACAAACUCAACACUGCGGACUCUGAAACUGAAAUAUGCAAAGGCUAUGACGUGGAAGGGUUGUAGGACAAGAAAACGAUAUGACACUGCACUUAUGGGACGAACACAAGAACACUCAAAACUAAGGGUAGAUGUGAACCUAAUGGUAUACCUAAAGCUUUGAUUCCCACAUGAUGAGAACAAGGGUGACCCGAUCUUCUAAAAGGUUCUGGUAACUCUCGAUUUGGUGGAGACGAGACACAAAUCGAUCCGGCUUCCGAACAACACGAUCCGAAACCCUGCAAUUUUUUUUAUUUUUUUGAUAUUUUUCUUUUGUUAGAGCACCAAAGGAGUGACCACAGAAAAUUUGAGCUUAAACCAGUGAAAGACAUGGCCUACGAAAAUUUCUGAAAAUUGUGAAAAAUGUGAAAAAAACAUCAUGAGGUGAAAACUCAAACUUCAGUUGUGAAUUUGGAGGUCCUAAAAUUUGCAAACCAGCCAAGGGAGGGGACAGAC
This 584-nucleotide long non-coding RNA is filed under the name Sorghum bicolor (sorghum). Its description in RNAcentral is "long non-coding RNA (SBIC_LNC012747)". The record is from RNAcentral. Lineage: Eukaryota; Viridiplantae; Streptophyta; Magnoliopsida; Poales; Poaceae.